This is a non-coding RNA of Bombyx mori (domestic silkworm), 83 nucleotides long. NCBI's taxonomy places the organism in Eukaryota, Metazoa, Arthropoda, Insecta, Lepidoptera, Bombycidae. The record is from Rfam.
UUAACCCAAAUUUGUAUGGAGUUGACAUCUCCCUUCGUUUACCGCUAGGGGGCGCUGUUCCAACUCCAUACAAAUUUGAGUUA